This 392-nucleotide ribosomal RNA is filed under the name uncultured bacterium. RNAcentral's name for it is "bacterial SSU rRNA". It matches the Rfam family "Bacterial small subunit ribosomal RNA", at positions 452 to 842 of the family's 1533-position model. The record is from RNAcentral.
UGCGUUCGUGAACGCGCGUCGAGAGUACCCGGAGAAAAAGCAUCGGCUAACUCCGUGCCAGCAGCCGCGGUAAUACGGAGGAUGCGAGCGUUAUCCGGAUUUAUUGGGUUUAAAGGGUGCGUAGGCGGGAUGCCAAGUCAGCGGUAAAAAUGCGGUGCUCAACGCCGUCGAGCCGUUGAAACUGGCGUUCUUGAGUGGGCGAGAAGUAUGCGGAAUGCGUGGUGUAGCGGUGAAAUGCAUAGAUAUCACGCAGAACUCCGAUUGCGAAGGCAGCAUACCGGCGCCCUACUGACGCUGAGGCACGAAAGCGUGGGUAUCGAACAGGAUUAGAUACCCUGGUAGUCCACGCAGUAAACGAUGAAUGCUAACUGUCCGGCUCGAAUGAGCGCUGG